Molecule: ribosomal RNA, 278 nt
Filed under: uncultured bacterium
Lineage: Bacteria
Description: partial 16S ribosomal RNA
Rfam family: Bacterial small subunit ribosomal RNA
Source: RNAcentral
UGCCAGCAGCCGCGGUAAUACGGGGGGGGCGAGCGUUAUUCGGAAUGACUGGGCGUAAAGAGUUCGUAGGCGGUUUCUUAAGUUGAUUUUAAAAAUUUAGAGCAUAACUCUAAAAAUGGAUCAAAACUGAGAAACUUGAGUUUGGUAGAGGAUAGUGGAAUUCCUAGUGGAAGGAUAAAAUCUCUAGAGAUUAGGAGGAACAUCAGAGGCGAAGGCGACUAUCUGGACCAAAACUGACGCUAAAGAACGAAAGUAUGGGUAUCAAGUGGGAUUAGAUA